RNAcentral lists this long non-coding RNA (722 nucleotides) under Zonotrichia albicollis (white-throated sparrow). RNAcentral's name for it is "lncRNA (ENSZALG00000000809.1)". The record is from RNAcentral. Lineage: Eukaryota; Metazoa; Chordata; Aves; Passeriformes; Passerellidae.
GUUUCUUUGUGGUUUGUUGCUAGUGAGGCUCUAUCUUUUGAGAAACUAUCUAGAUGGCAGAGUCUCUGCCUGGUGGGAAAAGGUUUUCAGUGCUUGUCUAUUGAUCUCAUGGUUUUGUUGCACUGGGAGAAGGAAACAGUGUGCAUGUUUAUAUGCUUAGAAGCAAAGAGAGGUUUCCUUUUCCCUGCUUUCUUAAAGGACAGCUGUAAGCAGCACUUUGAGUUAAACUUGGAGAAAAUGUUAUGGAAUAAAUCCCUCCAGUGACCACCAGCCAAUGGAAAACAAAGGAUAAUUUUCAAGGCAGUGGAGGGAAGCUGAGACAUGCAUCUGCUGGAUGUAACACAUGGAUAUGGACACUGCUCCAUCUGGCAGUAUUGCACUCUCCUCUCCUUGUAAAAUCUGGUCAAUGGAGAGUUUCUAAAGAGGUGAGAUGUAAAGGAAAAAUUGUUGCCACAAAGUCAUUUUCCAGCCUGUUCAGAAAAUAUAAAGCAAAACAUAGUGAUUCGUUGCAAGACAAGGAGAGAUGGCAUCUACCUUUCAUCAUCACCUACAGCAAAUCUAAUUCAGUCCAUGAUAUUUCAAAAGAAUUUCUCACUGAAGUAUUUGAAAUACAUUACAUAACUAGGAGUGAGGAAGGGCCAUGAGUACUAACAGUACAAUGAGGUCAACAUCUUUCACUUCCUUUUAAUAAAAUACUAUAUUUUGCUUGUUAUGUGGAGUUU